GGACUUGUGGAAUGGAUUCAAGUUGUAUGAUGGUGCUCUACUGUUUGGUAACACAUUUUCUCUUGUUUCAGGCCCCUCCAGUUGUCUCUACAACUUCAAAACGCAACAAAAGGUAGGCGAUUGCUUUUGGCUCCUGGGCUCGAUGGAGUCCAGAUUUUGAAAAGGAAUAAAAAUCUAAAUUAAACAAUUAUGAAAAUAAAUACACACAUACAUAUGGUUGUGCGCCACUUGCUUGUAUAUUUUCUUUUUUUUUGAACAAUUUGCUUGUAUAUUUUCAUGAUGAAAUGCAUUUUUGUGCGAGCUAUAGACAAAAAAACAUGUAUUCCUAACAUAUGUAUUAUUUCACUACAAAAGUAGAUAAAUCUUUUCUUGUGUGGCACACAUCAGAACAUAUUUCAUCAUGGAAAUCUGACACACAUUUUGUAUACAUAUCUAAGCAAGUGUGUAUUUUUUCAGAUUUUUUUGAACUUCGGAAUGUGAUUUUUCAAGUUUUUUAAAUUUCAGGUUCCAUGCUGGGAGCCAAAAAUCCACACUCAACAAAGGUGAUAAAGUAAGAGGAAAUUACAAUGGAGGUCCAUCAAGGAGUUAUUGAUUAGUCUAAUCGUUUUGAAAAUUCCUUUGGCCAUCUUAGGGGAAAGAUUCAUAAUAUAAAGUCCAGGCUUAAGAUCACAAGAAUACUCUUUUACAUAAAAGAACCAAGCAUAGAAGUCCAAGCAUAUCUCUGCAUCCUGAUGAUGGUGAUAAUGCUGGAGAUCGAGAUGACAAAGAGGAGGUAGAGAUCGAUGAAGAUGAUGACGUAGUAGAAUAUAUACAUGUACUUGAUCUUCUCUCCCCAUGGCCAAAUGCAUCACUUUGAAGCAUGUCAAUAUCACAUACACAAUCUGCAUAUCGAACUAAUAUCAUCCACCAAUGAGGCUGGCUCAUGAUUUAGAUUUCACUUUUGUGUCGAUUUAAAAAAUCAAACAAAGGGACGGUUGACUCAAUGGGAUGUUUGAGAUGCGAUGAUGGUCAACAUAUUAUGGUAUGCAUGUACGAUACAUUCAUUUAAUUAGUAAUCUAAGACUCUGAUUUCUAUGGAAUAUAGAAUAAUUAU
RNAcentral lists this long non-coding RNA (1093 nucleotides) under Triticum aestivum (bread wheat). RNAcentral's name for it is "long non-coding RNA (TAES_LNC016733)". Lineage: Eukaryota; Viridiplantae; Streptophyta; Magnoliopsida; Poales; Poaceae. The record is from RNAcentral.